AAAGAAAAAGAAAAGAAAUGGGACCAAAUCUGGAAGAGUGGAGAAGGGAAAGGAAUCCGCAGAUAUUUGUAACGUGUCAAUCAAACUUUUGAGUCUCCAGAAAUGAGAAGCAGAUAAAUACAAACAGGUACAACAAACUUCAAUCAGCGUUGUUGUUUGAGCCAGAGAGAGUCUCUUUACCUUCUUAGCCGUUCAUCUCUUUUUGCAUCUUUCUAUUUCUCAUCGUCGAUUCCAAACCAAAGUGUUUGGGAAUAUGUGGUUCACGAAGACAAACCUAAAAAAUAUACUUAUGCUAGCGGAUUGAGAGCUUGAAGAGGGAAAAAAGUAGUUCUGUAAUUAGUGACUUGCAGAGAUGUUGGGGAGAAAAAGGACUUGCGCAAAAUGGCUGUUGACCACAAAAUAUGGUUUUGCGAAAUCCUUUUCUGUUGAUUGGGUCCUCCAUCCCAGAUAUUCAAAUAAUGGAAGCAAAGUGGGCCCAAGUACUGGAUGAUGGGGCAAGAAAUGUUGUCUGUUUGGACAGGAAAAGGGCAGCUCGAUGCACAAAAAAAAUAGUUAGCGUUCGCCAACAAGUGUUGUCACAACGGUCUGGCUUGAACUUAUCUUUUGGCAAGGUCGGUAAGCGUAAGAGAUCAGAUUCAUGCAAAAGUCAGUGUGGAUCAUGCUCGAAGAGAUCUUUACUUAAAAACUAUAUGAAUUUCACUAAAAGUGGGCUUCCUCAACGAUUUUUGUAUCAUCAAAAUGGUGAGUGGACUGAUUAUCCUCAAGACAUUGUGGAGUUGGUCAGGAGGCAUUUUCACUUGAAAAAUGCGGCAGUGAAUGUGGAAUUCAAUGGCUGCCAUUUAUUGCUUGAUAUUUUGUAUAUGAUUGAAUUGGAGUUGAAAACGGGUUUACAGAAGUACAUUGCUUGGAUUGAUGAAGCGGGAUGUUGCUUCUUUCCAGAAUUCCCCUCUUGUGUUAGUGAAACAUGUGAGUUCUGCCAAUCUAAGUUAGAGGAUGAUGCAACUGUUUCAUUAUCAGAGCCAAAUGAGAUGCCUGACAUCAAGUUGCAGCUUGAGAUUGGAUUAACUGAAGUGAAUAGUUCUAAUUCAGAGGAAUGUGUUGAAGAGUCAAAUGUUCGUGCUAAGCGGAAUAAGGUUGAAACAAAAUCUGUUAGUAACUGUGAGGAUCUGGAAGUCAGUGACAAUGAUAAUCGAACUUCAGAUUUCAGUUCACACAAGUCUAGGGGGGAAAAUCAACAAAUUGCUGAAAAUAGAACAACUAAGUAUGUAGUUAUGCACGAAAUGCUGGACUUUGAUACCGUGAAGGACAAGUUUGUUACGGGCAUGGGUUCAUCUGUAAGUGCAAAUAUACUAGAGGUCAAGCGCUGCUCUAGUGAUUUGUUGCAAACUCGGCUAGAGCUAUUUCAAAAGCAGGUUGAAAUAACCAAGAAGAAUCGUGGCAAUCCAAAUGUCCAAUAUGGCUGGCUAGCUGCUAGUAAAGAUGCUUUAUCUAGCAUCAUGACAUAUGGGCUUGGGCACGGUGGACACAAAAUGAUGUCCUCAUAUGGCAUUGGAGUUCACCUUGCACCAUUAAACUAUUCGCAUAUAAGUGCAAGUUAUUGUGAUGAUGACGAAAAUGGGAUAAGAUACGUAGUGUUCUGUUGUGUGAUAUUGGGAAAUGUGGAGGUUGUCAGUCCUGGAUCUGUACAAUGUCGUCCCAGCACUGAAAACUUCGAUAGUGGAGUUGAUAGCCUUCAAAGCCCACAUCAUUAUAUAGUUUGGAAUAUGAAUAUGAAUACCCAUAUUUUUCCAGAGUUUGUUGUCAGUUUCACGAUGUCUUCCAGUGCUGAUGGUGGAUGUCUUGUUGCUAAAGAAAAUAGAAUUGAUGUCUCGGGAAUUACUACUUGUGAGUGGCCUCAAAGCCAGGUGCAGUUGUAUCGCUCUCCAGUUGUAUCAGAGAAUUGUCAACCAUUUCCAGAGCUUGGGAAGAAAUGCCAAGAAAAGAUUGUGACCCUUGGUUCAAAUUCUUCGAAGACUCCCAAAUCACCAUGGAUGCCUUUUGGCAAGUUGUUUGAAGUUAUCUCAAAAGAAACAUCUCCUAAAGAUAUGGAGUUGGUGAACAUUCAUUAUCAACAAUUCAAGAGCAAUAAGAUUAGUAGGGAAGAUUUUGUUAAAAAGUUGAGAUGGAUUGUUGGGGAUACGUUGUUGAGGUCCACCCUAAUGGGUCUUCAGUGCGAGCCGCCAGUUAUGAAAACGCCAAAGCUGGAGCCAGAAUAAUGGCUCACUUCUGACUGUUACUGGGGUUUGCUGUAUGCCUGGAGGAGACCCGUUGCCAACCAAUGGGAGCUUCGAAUUGGGCGGAUAAUGGGUCAAUUGUUGUCGGUUUCGUGGAUUUGGUGGUUUUAGGCCAGGUCUGAACAGCCCUGAUUUAAGGAUUUAUUUAUAAUGGGUUUAGUAUUAAGUUGGUGAAAAUUGCUCAAGACAAUUGAUCUUGCGAUUUGCUUGCGAGUGGAUAACCUGCGAAAGGUCACAUUAGAAGCGCAUGCUGGAAGCUAAACAAUCUUUUGCCAAACUGUAUUUUGCGAGUCAUUUUGCGAUUUGACCUAGUCGCGAGUAACCCGUGAAACUCACUACUUGGACGAUUUUAAAUGUGACUUUUAUACUCUUCUUCCAUAUUAUAUAUACCCUCACUACCCGCAAAAGUGAAAGAAGGCUAUUCAUAAGAAAACCCUAAAAAGGUUUCUACAACUCCUACCUUGUUAGAGAGAGCUACACAUCCUCAAGAGAUAAAUUCUUAUACUCUCUUCUCCUCCCCUCUCCAAUUAUUAGACCUUGAGAGGAUAUUUGUACCCAAACAGAACUCACACCUAUUUAGAGUGUAGAAAGUGUUUUGGAAUUUGGGAAGCAUUGGGUAUUUGCCAAAAUAAGACGGUGAGGCUUGGCAGAUACAAUUGGGCGGUAUUGCGGGAUUUGGGAAGUUAGUGAAGAUAAGACUUCGAGAAGUCUAUUGAUAGCUGAAACUUGGAGGGUUUAAGUACUUUGGGUAGAUUAGGCUUGGAGGGUCUUUUUGGUAUCAUUGUACUCCAACUUAUUCAUUAGUAGAUCAUUUUGGCUUGGAGGGUCAAGGAGAGGUUUUUACGUCAAGUUUUUCGGUUUUCCUCUUUGAUAACA
RNA transcript from Quercus robur (English oak), 3149 nucleotides. It is a transcript of the gene named inactive poly [ADP-ribose] polymerase RCD1-like, with no coding region annotated. The record is from RefSeq and is a predicted model, not a curated record. NCBI's taxonomy places the organism in Eukaryota, Viridiplantae, Streptophyta, Magnoliopsida, Fagales, Fagaceae. The transcript is spliced from 12 exons.